RNAcentral lists this non-coding RNA (21 nucleotides) under Caenorhabditis elegans. Lineage: Eukaryota; Metazoa; Nematoda; Chromadorea; Rhabditida; Rhabditidae. The record is from RNAcentral.
UGGUUUGUGUUUUGGCUACUA